AUUGAACGCUGGCGGCAGGCCUAACACAUGCAAGUCGAGCGGAUGAAGGGAGCUUGCUCCUGGAUUCAGCGGCGGACGGGUGAGUAAUGCCUAGGAAUCUGCCUGGUAGUGGGGGAUAACGUCCGGAAACGGGCGCUAAUACCGCAUACGUCCUGAGGGAGAAAGUGGGGGAUCUUCGGACCUCACGCUAUCAGAUGAGCCUAGGUCGGAUUAGCUAGUUGGUGGGGUAAAGGCCUACCAAGGCGACGAUCCGUAACUGGUCUGAGAGGAUGAUCAGUCACACUGGAACUGGGAAACGGUCCAGACUCCUACGGGAGGCAGCAGUGGGGAAUAUUGGACAAUGGGCGAAAGCCUGAUCCAGCCAUGCCGCGUGUGUGAAGAAGGUCUUCGGAUUGUAAAGCACUUUAAGUUGGGAGGAAGGGCAGUAAGUUAAUACCUUGCUGUUUUGACGUUACCAACAGAAUAAGCACCGGCUAACUUCGUG
RNAcentral lists this ribosomal RNA (484 nucleotides) under uncultured bacterium. Its description in RNAcentral is "partial 16S ribosomal RNA". It matches the Rfam family "Bacterial small subunit ribosomal RNA", at positions 30 to 507 of the family's 1533-position model. The record is from RNAcentral.